AUUUAUAUAGUUUAAAUAAAACAUUACAUUUUCAUUGUAAAAAUAAAAUACAUUUAUUUUUAUAAAUA
This 68-nucleotide transfer RNA is filed under the name Cypoides chinensis. RNAcentral's name for it is "tRNA-Glu". Lineage: Eukaryota; Metazoa; Arthropoda; Insecta; Lepidoptera; Sphingidae. The record is from RNAcentral.